This is a long non-coding RNA of Lates calcarifer (barramundi perch), 804 nucleotides long. RefSeq lists it as uncharacterized. Lineage: Eukaryota; Metazoa; Chordata; Actinopteri; Centropomidae. The transcript is spliced from 4 exons. The record is from RefSeq and is a predicted model, not a curated record.
ACUAUCUUGUCGUCACUAUAAAAUCUUUACUCAACAUGGCGGCUCUUUGUUUAUGUCAACGAACCGGACAGGAAGCUGGAUCCCCCGAAGAGAGCUACAGAAACGGACGAAAAUGAAAGACUGCAUGAAUCAAAGCUCGGAUGAGGAGACUGAGAGAGAAAGACAGAGAGAAGCUGAUGGAAAUGAGAGACAGAGAGCAGGCUGUCAUUGAUAAGAGAUCAGAGGAGACCUGCAGGCUGGAAACCAUCUGCUGUUACAUGAAAGAGGGGAAACAGGUGGAAAUCUGGAACAAAAAGGCCUGGGUCUUUAUAAGCAACAGAUCAGCAACAUGACAACAGCAUCAGCAGCGGCAACAUCUCCCACUGAUGGCUCAGAGUUUCCCUGGAGGGAAAUCCUCUUUGUCUGGGCGGCCCGAGCCGGCCGUGUCUUUCAACAGGAUAUCCCAACAGAAGGUGAGGUCAACUAUGAGCAAACUCUGCACAAUAGGAUCUAGAGCUGGAUUUGAUGUUUCACAAAGCAGUGGACAUAUUCUUUGAAGAUUUCACCUCCUCCCUCCGUCAAAGUCUGUGAGAGUUAAUUAAACAUUGGACAGCUUGGGGUCAAGCCUCGGCUCAAAGUGAAAAGAGAAAAGACUUUUUAAAAAUCGAUCUCGUCAUUUUGACAGGAUGUUGCAUGAAUUAGUUGUUGUUUUGACGUUUUUCUGUAAAGGAAACUUGAAGGUUGCAGCUCAGUGAACGCACAUAAUUAUCAACUUCUGCUGAAGUUCUGAAAACAUUUUGUUUUCAUGUGAAAAUCUAAAUGAAU